CUUAUUCUAAGCGCAAAAAUAAGAUCUUCAAAACAAAACAAAAAUUAUUAUCAUUCUCUUUCCUAAAACCGCAUCUAAAAAUUUUUAAAUCGCAACAUCGCAAGCAAAAGUGGUCAACUUGCGAAAUGUCAUCCUGUCAAAUGGCUUUGUAUUUAUAUUCGACAUUUGUGAAGUUUUGUGUUUUUUCUUUAGUUUUCGGUUGAAAAAGGAUGCAUUUGAGUGUUUUUGUGAACUAUUACGAUGCUGUGUCUUGUGAAAAAAUGUAUGAAAAAGUGAUUCAAGCCGCUCUUUUUACAAAGGACGUCACUGGUAAAGGCUCCUUGCAUGGGUGGAAUCAAAUGAGGCGUUGCCGAUAGUAAGGGCGAACUCAACAAAAGCAAGUUUCGAGAAAAUUGCGUUUAAAAAAAAUUACAAAAGGCGAAUUCAACAAAAAGUGGGCAACAUUAUGAUUUUGUACUUUUUUCUUUUUUAAUUCAAUCACAUAACUUUUUUUAUUUUUAA
Molecule: long non-coding RNA, 501 nt
Organism: Anthonomus grandis grandis
Lineage: Eukaryota; Metazoa; Arthropoda; Insecta; Coleoptera; Curculionidae
Exons: 2
Source: RefSeq, a predicted model, not a curated record